CGGCGAGUGAGCGGCAAAAGCUCAAAUUUGAAAUCUGGCGCCUUCGGUGUCCGAGUUGUAAUUUGAAGAUUGUAACCUUGGGGUUGGCUCUUGUCUAUGUUUCUUGGAACAGGACGUCACAGAGGGUGAGAAUCCCGUGCGAUGAGAUGCCCAAUUCUAUGUAAGGUGCUUUCGAAGAGUCGAGUUGUUUGGGAAUGCAGCUCUAAGUGGGUGGUAAAUUCCAUCUAAAGCUAAAUAUUGGCGAGAGACCGAUAGCGAACAAGUACAGUGAUGGAAAGAUGAAAAGAACUUUGAAAAGAGAGUGAAAAAGUACGUGAAAUUGUUGAAAGGGAAGGGUUUGAGAUCAGACUCGAUAUUUUGUGAGCCUUGCCUUCGUGGCGGGGUGACCCGCAGCUUAUCGGGCCAGCAUCGGUUUGGGCGGUAGGAUAAUGGCGUAGGAAUGUGACUUUACUUCGGUGAAGUGUUAUAGCCUGCGUUGAUGCUGCCUGCCUAGACCGAGGACUGCGAUUUUAUCAAGGAUGCUGGCAUAAUGAUCCCAAACCGCCCGUCUUGA
This 553-nucleotide ribosomal RNA is filed under the name Meyerozyma guilliermondii. Its description in RNAcentral is "eukaryotic LSU rRNA". It matches the Rfam family "Eukaryotic large subunit ribosomal RNA", at positions 87 to 657 of the family's 3401-position model. Lineage: Eukaryota; Fungi; Ascomycota; Pichiomycetes; Serinales; Debaryomycetaceae. The record is from RNAcentral.